UACGGAGGGUGCAAGCGUUAAUCGGAAUUACUGGGCGUAAAGCGCACGCAGGUGGCUGAGUAAGUCGAUUGUGAAAGCCCUGGGCUUAACCUGGGAAUUGCAGUCGAUACUGCUCGGCUAGAGUAUGGGAGAGGGUAGUGGAAUUCCCGGUGUAGCGGUGAAAUGCGUAGAUAUCGGGAGGAACAUCAGUGGCGAAGGCGGCUACCUGGCCCAAUACUGACGCUGAGGCGCGAAAGCGUGGGGAGCAAACAGG
RNAcentral lists this ribosomal RNA (253 nucleotides) under uncultured bacterium. RNAcentral describes it as "partial 16S ribosomal RNA". It matches the Rfam family "Bacterial small subunit ribosomal RNA", at positions 524 to 776 of the family's 1533-position model. The record is from RNAcentral.